GACGAACCGUGCGAACGUUAUUCGGAAUCACUGGGCUUAAAGGGCGCGUAGGCGGGCGGCCGAGUCCGGGGUGAAAGCCCCCAGCUCGACUGGGGAAGUGCCUCGGAUACCGGCAGUCUCGAGGGGGAUAGGGGCGUGCGGAACUUCCGGUGGAGCGGUGAAAUGUGUAGAUAUCGGAAGGAACACCGGUGGCGAAAGCGGCGCGCUGGAUCCCUUCUGACGCUGAGGCGCGAAAGCCAGGGGAGCGAACGGG
This 253-nucleotide ribosomal RNA is filed under the name uncultured bacterium. Its description in RNAcentral is "partial 16S ribosomal RNA". It matches the Rfam family "Bacterial small subunit ribosomal RNA", at positions 524 to 776 of the family's 1533-position model. The record is from RNAcentral.